UAUGUGAUCGUCUCUCGCAUAUCAAUAAGCGGAGGAAAAGAAACUAACAAGGAUUCCCCUAGUAACGGCGAGUGAAGCGGGAAGAGCUCAAAUUUGAAAUCUUAAAGGGUUUCCCUUUACGAAUUGUAGUUUAAAGAAGUGUUUUCUGUUGAGGUUUUGGUAAAAGUUCUUUGGGAUAGGACAUCAUAGAGGGUGAGAAUCCCGUAUUUGACCUUUACUUUCAACUUUGUGAUACACUUUCAAAGAGUCGGAUUGUUUGGGAAUGCAGUCCAAAAUGGGUGGUAAAUUUCAUCUAAAGCUAAAUAUUGGCGAGAGACCGAUAGCGAACAAGUACCGUGAGGGGAAGAUGAAAAGAACUUUGAAAAGAGAGUUAAACAGUACGUGAAAUUGUCAAAAGGGAAGCGUUUGACACCAGCGUUGUUUUUCUGAAAAUCAAUUAAAGAACUGUUUAUGCUAAGUUGUUUAGACUUUAUCAGCUAACUGUUUAGUUUUGAGCUUUUCUUUAAUGCACUUUUCAGUUAACAAGUCAACAUCAAUUUCUUUUGCUGUAAAAAAGCUUGAGGAAGGUGGCUUGAGAUUCGUCUUAAGUGUUUAUAGCCUCUUGCCUAUGCAGUCGGAGAGAUUGAGGUCUGCAGCGUAGAUCCUUCGGGGCUAAAUGCAUUUGUGCUAAGUUAUAACAUUUUAUAGACAACUUGUUGACUAUGAUUUGUCUUGUAGCUUACUCGCUUAUGUUAUUUUACCUACGCUUAGGAUGUGAAGUCAUCGUAUCGCGC
Molecule: ribosomal RNA, 773 nt
Filed under: uncultured Neocallimastigales
Lineage: Eukaryota; Fungi; Neocallimastigomycota; Neocallimastigomycetes; Neocallimastigales
Description: partial large subunit ribosomal RNA
Rfam family: Eukaryotic large subunit ribosomal RNA
Source: RNAcentral